AGAACGAUUAUUGGAUCAGAUGGUAAAACAAUUUUUGAUUUUGUAAAAAACUGCCAAAUUAUCUUCCAAAGUUGCUAUGUAAUUUUGUAUUCCCACCAGCAAU
This 103-nucleotide microRNA precursor is filed under the name Marmota monax (woodchuck). The record is from RNAcentral. Lineage: Eukaryota; Metazoa; Chordata; Mammalia; Rodentia; Sciuridae.